RNAcentral lists this ribosomal RNA (840 nucleotides) under uncultured Sebacinales. Its description in RNAcentral is "eukaryotic LSU rRNA". The stretch from base 157 to 840 matches the Rfam family "Eukaryotic large subunit ribosomal RNA", at positions 1 to 665 of the family's 3401-position model. The record is from RNAcentral. Lineage: Eukaryota; Fungi; Basidiomycota; Agaricomycetes; Sebacinales.
AACGGCUCGUCUGAAAUGCCUGAGUGUACCCCGCUUUGCGGCGUAUUCGGUGUGAUACAUCUUCACCGGAGUUGAUCCCUUUAUUGGGGUCGCGUCUGUAAUGGUGUGGCUCUAUGCUUCCAACCGUCUCCUUAUCGAGACAAAUCUCUGACAAUUUGACCUCAAAUCGGGUGGGACUACCCGCUGAACUUAAGCAUAUCAAUAAGCGGAGGAAAAGAAACUAACAAGGAUUCCCCUAGUAACGGCGAGUGAAGAGGGAAAAGCUCAAAUUUUGAAUCUGGUGUCUUUGACUCCCGAGUUGUAAUCUAGAGAAGUGUUUUCCGUGUCGGACCGUGCACAAGUUCCCUGGAACGGGGCGUCAUAGAGGGUGAGAAUCCCGUAUAUGGCAUGGACUGCCGAUGCUUUUGUGAUACACUCUCAACGAGUCGAGUUGUUUGGGAAUGCAGCUCAAAAUGGGUGGUAAAUUCCAUCUAAAGCUAAAUAUUGGCGAGAGACCGAUAGCGAACAAGUACCGUGAGGGAAAGAUGAAAAGCACUUUGGAAAGAGAGUGAAACAGUACGUGAAAUUGUUGAAAGGGAAGCGUUUGAAGUCAGUCGUAUCUGGCGGGAUUCAGCCGGGCUUUUGCCAGGUGUACUUCUCGUCCGAUGGGUCAGCAUCAAUUUCGACCGGGGGAAAAAGACGUGUGGAAUGUGGCUGUCUUCGGGCAGUGUUAUAGCCAUGUGUUGUAUGCCUCGGUUGGGAUUGAGGAACGCAGCGCGCCUUAAGGCCAGGGGUUCGCCUCUUGACACGCGCUUAGGAUGCUGGCAUAAUGGCUUUAAGCGACCCGUCUUGAAACACGGA